Molecule: ribosomal RNA, 225 nt
Filed under: uncultured Acinetobacter sp.
Lineage: Bacteria; Pseudomonadati; Pseudomonadota; Gammaproteobacteria; Moraxellales; Moraxellaceae
Description: partial 16S ribosomal RNA
Rfam family: Bacterial small subunit ribosomal RNA
Source: RNAcentral
CAUGCAGGCGGUUAGACAAGUCAGAUGUGAAAUCCCCGAGCUUAACUUGGGAAUUGCAUUCGAUACUGGGAAGCUAGAGUAUGGGAGAGGAUGGUAGAAUUCCAGGUGUAGCGGUGAAAUGCGUAGAGAUCUGGAGGAAUACCGAUGGCGAAGGCAGCCAUCUGGCCUAAUACUGACGCUGAGGUACGAAAGCAUGGGGAGCAAACAGGAUUAGAUACCCCCGUA